UACGUAGGGGGCAAGCGUUGUCCGGAUUUAUUGGGCGUAAAGAGCGUGUAGGCGGCUUUACAGGUCCGUUGUGAAAACUCGAGGCUCAACCUCGAGACGCCGGUGGAAACCGUAAAGCUAGAGUCCGGAAGAGGAGAGUGGAAUUCCUGGUGUAGCGGUGAAAUGCGCAGAUAUCAGGAGGAACACCUAUUGCGAAGGCAGCUCGCUGGGACGGAACUGACGCUAAGGCGCGAAAGCGUGGGGAGCGAACAGG
RNAcentral lists this ribosomal RNA (253 nucleotides) under uncultured bacterium. RNAcentral describes it as "partial 16S ribosomal RNA". It matches the Rfam family "Bacterial small subunit ribosomal RNA", at positions 524 to 776 of the family's 1533-position model. The record is from RNAcentral.